This 215-nucleotide long non-coding RNA is filed under the name Manihot esculenta (cassava). RNAcentral's name for it is "long non-coding RNA (MESC_LNC007068)". Lineage: Eukaryota; Viridiplantae; Streptophyta; Magnoliopsida; Malpighiales; Euphorbiaceae. The record is from RNAcentral.
GUGCGAGCAAGAAGAGAUGGGAUAAACUCAGAGGAAAGAGAGGCAAGUUCUGGAACAGGAUUAAGACGGGUCUGGGAAUGAGUAGCGGCUCCAGCUCUGGCACAGAUAUUCCAGUUUGCAAUAGGUGUGGGAGACCGCACAAAGGAGCUUGUUUGUUGGGAUCGACAGCCUGCUAUAGAUGUGGGCAGGAGGGACAUUAUGCUCGAGAAUGUCCU